RNAcentral lists this ribosomal RNA (819 nucleotides) under Triticum aestivum (bread wheat). Its description in RNAcentral is "partial small subunit ribosomal RNA". The record is from RNAcentral. Lineage: Eukaryota; Viridiplantae; Streptophyta; Magnoliopsida; Poales; Poaceae.
AUGGACGCCGAGGCCGCCGCCGCCGCCGCCGUGGCGGCUACACCUCCGGCGCCCUCCUCCCAACCUCUGGGCUCCAUCCCGCAGCCUCCUCCUCCACCUCCUCCUCACUCCCCUGUGGUACACACGCCUCUCCCUCUCCAGACCGCGCCGUCAGUCGCCGGCUUCCCUUCUGCGGCCUAUAUCCAUGCGAUGCGCGUUGAGAGUGCCCACAUCAACCUCGGCGUCCGCCUCGAUAUGGAAGGGGCCAACUACUCGACUUGGCGUGGCCUCAUGCUCGAGGUCAUUGACCAGUACGAUGUGGCGGCUUGGAUCGCGCCGGACUUCACCAACCGCGCCGGCGAUGUGGCAGAAUCCACGACGGCCGAGCUGUGGUCCUCCAUCGAGUCCUUGUUCGUCAACAAUAGGCGCUCUCGGCGCUUCCAGCUCACGGCGAAGCUCUUCGCCGUCAAGCAAGGUGACGCACCGGUCUCCUCUUUCUGCGCGCGCCUUAAGGCCAUGGCGGACGGGCUGAGGAACGCCGGAAAGGUGCUGGAUGAUGAUGAACUCGUUGUUCAGCUCCUUUGCGGCGUCAACAAGGACCGUCAUGAGAUGACUGCAAAAAUCAUCGAGAAAUCUCAAACUCCCAUUCCCUUUGAUGUUGCAGUUGGUAUGCUCCUCCAGGACGAGAUCGACGCUGACUUCUCCCCCUCCGACGUCUCCCACACCGCCCUCGCCGUCCAGAAGCACCCACCUGCCCCUGCCUCCUCCUCUGGCGGGCAAGCCAGGCCUCCUGUGCUCGGGCAGGGCGGCCCCAAGCCUGGCACUCCUUUGCCAAACUAG